This is an RNA transcript of Xenia sp. Carnegie-2017, 1648 nucleotides long. It is a transcript of the gene named methionine aminopeptidase 1D, mitochondrial-like, with no coding region annotated. The transcript has 12 exons. The record is from RefSeq and is a predicted model, not a curated record. NCBI's taxonomy places the organism in Eukaryota, Metazoa, Cnidaria, Anthozoa, Malacalcyonacea, Xeniidae.
GCAUGGUAACAUGGCCACGAAAAGCACCAUCUGCAAAGAGUAGAGACAUCAAUGUUGUAUUUUUAUUGAUUGAUCUUGGAUAGUAAGUCAAUAACUUCUUCUUGUCGUUUCUUAGGAAUCAACACUUUUUAUGAGAACUUUAACCAUUUGUUAUUAAGUUCUUCAAACAGUCUCAUGCUUCCUGGUUGCUUGUGUUUUGGAGCUGUGAAGUAUUGAAUGUUAUGUCAGCAGGUUUUAAUAAGCUUACAAGGCUGAAGCCAAAAAUUGCUUCAUUACUUCAACAUGAACUAUAUCAAAAGAUAAAUCUCCAAGUAAAUGGGUUGUUAAAGACAGUACCAAAUGAUAUUGUGAAGCCAAUUUAUGCUUUGAGUGGUUUGGUUCCUCCAUCACCAAGUUUUCCCGAAAUUAAAACAAAAAAUGAUAUUGCUCAUAUGAGAAUGGCGUGCAAGAUUGCCAGAAAAGUUCUGAAUAUAGCAAGAGAUUUUGUCAAGGUAGGUGUAUCAACUGAAGAAAUCGACGAAGUCGUUCACAAUGCCUCCAUUGAAUAUGGUGUGUAUCCUUCACCACUGAACUAUAAAGGCUUUCCCAAAUCUGUAUGCACUUCUUUGAACGAUGUUGUUUGUCAUGGUAUACCAGACAGAACAAUUCUUAAGGAUGGAGAUAUAAUCAACGUAGAUGUCUCGGUCUUUGUGAACGGUUUUCAUGGAGAUUUAUCUGAGACUUUCCUAAUUGGUGAUGUAGAUAUGGCUGGACGACGACUUGUUACUGUCACAAAGGAAUGUCUUGACGCGGCCAUCUUAGUUUGUAAGGAUAGCGAGCCUUUUUCAAUCAUUGGCAAAAUAAUCAGUUCCAUUGCUAACAAAAACGGAUUUAAUGUUGUACCGCAUUUCAUUGGUCAUGGUAUCGGCACAUAUUUUCAUGGUCCUCCUGAUAUUUUACAUUUUAACAAUGAAAAUCCUGGUAGAAUGAAAUCAGGGAUGACAUUCACAAUCGAGCCAAUUCUUAUUGAGGGGCAUACAGAUUUUGAGAUUUUAGAAGAUGGUUGGACGUGUGUAUCAUCGGAUGGUACCAGAUCAGCGCAGUUUGAACAUACCAUACUCGUGACCGACUCUGGAGCUGAAAUACUUACUGCUGAUGACACCACGUGACUUUUCCGUAUGUUGGUACUUAUGUCGUUUUGUUGCUGAAAUGCGAAGAAACAUUUAAAGAACGGAACCAUCUUCAAAUCAACCAAACACAAGCAAUACUUUGCGGCAGACAAGACGAACGAGGAAGAAGACGGCAAAGUAAACGCAAAGAAUUUUUUGGUUUCUUGAUUCUUGAAGCAUAACGAUGAAGUUGAUAACAGCAACGUUCGUUUUGAUGCUUGUUGUUCUUUCCUUUGGUGCUGAUGAGCCAAAGGUGGGAGAGUACUGUUCAUGUGAAGGUACAGGUCUUGGAUUUCCAUGGAAAUAUGACUGUCCAUCUCCGUAUCAUCCAAAGUGCAAGAGUAGCCUUCCUUCUCCGUACGUUUGCUGCAAAUUGAGGUUGGAUGAAAAAAAAUUGAGUUUGUGAGUCCCUGGCAUUUAAUCAUAUAAUCAUGUUCAAUUAACAAAUAGAGUCCGAAAAUAUAGUCAUGUUAAAUUGAGAAAUAAAAUCCUGAAGCAUA